This 253-nucleotide ribosomal RNA is filed under the name uncultured bacterium. RNAcentral describes it as "partial 16S ribosomal RNA". It matches the Rfam family "Bacterial small subunit ribosomal RNA", at positions 524 to 776 of the family's 1533-position model. The record is from RNAcentral.
UACGUAGGGUGCAAGCGUUGUCCGGAAUUAUUGGGCGUAAAGAGCUCGUAGGCGGUCUGUCGCGUCGGAUGUGAAAACCCAGGGCUCAACCCUGGGCCUGCAUUCGAUACGGGCAGACUAGAGUUCGGUAGGGGAGACUGGAAUUCCUGGUGUAGCGGUGAAAUGCGUAGAUAUUGGGAGGAACACCAGUGGCGAAGGCGGCUCACUGGACCGGUACUGACGCUGAGGCGCGAAAGCGUGGGGAGCAAACAGG